This 279-nucleotide ribosomal RNA is filed under the name uncultured bacterium. RNAcentral's name for it is "partial 16S ribosomal RNA". It matches the Rfam family "Bacterial small subunit ribosomal RNA", at positions 506 to 784 of the family's 1533-position model. The record is from RNAcentral.
UGCCAGCCGCCGCGGUAAUACGGAGGGGGUUAGCGUUGUUCGGAAUUACUGGGCGUAAAGCGCGCGUAGGCGGAUUGGAAAGUUGGGGGUGAAAUCCCGAGGCUCAACCUCGGAACUGCCUCCAAAACUCCCAGUCUAGAGUUCGAGAGAGGUGAGUGGAAUUCCAAGUGUAGAGGUGAAAUUCGUAGAUAUUUGGAGGAACACCAGUGGCGAAGGCGGCUCACUGGCUCGAUACUGACGCUAAAGCUCGAAAGCGUGGGGAGCGAACAGGAUUAGAUA